UAUGAUGUGCUGAGACUGGGAUAGUGACAGAGCCUGGAUUACAACUACUCUGGACUCAUAGUCCUAUGCUCAGACUAUUAGGCUGCCAUGAUAUUGCAGAGUUCGAGUUACUACCAAUUGGCCAGAACAAAGUCACUGCUAAAUGUAUUUUUAACUAGCACCUAACUGAUGGUUAUCUUUCAGGGGCACUCAAUAAAUGCUCAUCAGCUGAACUCAUUCUAUAGAAGCUUUACAACAAGUAAAGCAAAUUUUAGGGCAAAAAUCACAGGGUUUGAAAAAGGUCAGUUAUUUAAGAUGAAAAGAUUUUCUGACUGCACCUGUUCAAUACGAAUGCGUUCCCUUUCCAAGCGUUCGCGUUCCAUUCUCUCUCUCUCUAGUUUUUGCCUUUCAAUUUCUAGGCGCUCUCUCUCUCUCUGUAAGCGUUCCCGUUCUUCCCGUUCACGAAUUAUUCUAAUGCGUUCUCGCUCUCGACGCUCUCUUUCUGCAAUCUCUCUUCGUCUAACAAAAAUCAGUAUUUAGAAAUACUUAAAUUAUGCUAGCACUGUGUGAAAGAGAAUAGCUUUUGAGUUUGAAUUUUUCCUUGUGGUUGGCAAGUUUAAACUUCAACUCAAUCUAAGUAGUUUUAAUGUAAUUGGAAAGAGAACUCAAAAUAAAACUUUAAACAGAUUCCAAUGCUGUCACUUAUUUAUUAAGACUGUCAACUGAGCAGCUGAAUUUUAUAGAGUAGUUGCCUCUUAGAGGAUUCCUGUUUAAAUAAAAAUCCCACUAUAAUAAUAGCCCAUUAGUUAAUCAACAUUUUAAUAAGGACAUAUUCUACAAAUAUGUUUACAAAACUACAACUUCUGUUUUUGACAGGAAAUUUUCCAGUAGCUAGUAUGUGUUCUAUCUCCUUAAACAAAGUAGACCUUAUUUUGGUGACUUGGGAUCAUAUCCAUCAACAUGAAUUAUAGCAGAUGCUAUAUAUAAUAAGAUGGUUGCCCUUAAGGGCUUUUUUGCUGUUCACUAGCCCGUGAUUCUUUGAGUCAGGAGGCAGUUCAAAUGUUUGCUGAACUUAAUGAAGAUAACGUAUCGGGACUUUUCACAUUUCUGUCAUCCCCUCACUCUAAGGGCCUCAGUGUGCUCUAUCAGCAUGUCUUCCUCUAGCCACCCAGUGGUUCUCAGUGGGUCAGUACUGCUCCCAUGGAAAUCUGAGGGGCAUUUUAAAUUAUCCCAAUGACCAUCGGGGCCAUUAGCAGCAGCACUGAGUGAAUGGGGACCAAGGAUUCUAGACAGCUUACACUGCAUGGAAUGGUCAGAUAGUUCAGCACAGCAAAAAAAUCUGUCCAAUAUUCAUUAUACUUUCAAAUGUCAUAAUGGACAUUCAUGUCAUUAAAACAAAACAAAAUCACCUUUAAAAAAACUGGAGCCUAGAACUUCACUCAUUGUGAAUACAUGCUAGGUUGGUUGGUUUGCAUGGUUGCAUGGUUGCAUGGUUGGCAUGGUUUUAUAUACACUAAAAUUUCCAGGAAUGCAACUCCAUGUCAAUUAGAAGGAAAAUUAUACUUUCUUAAGACCUUCACCAAGAGUCGCUCACCAUUUCAGAAAUCAUGUUGUAAUGCCAACACCACUCCUGGCAUUUGACUUACCAAAACGACACACCAAUAUCAGUCUGCAUUUGUAGCUGUCACAUUCUCAUUGAAUCUAAAGAGGGUUGUAAACAUCUGACUACUUCAUUAGGUCUUCUAGAGAGUCGUGCCUAAACAUUCAUAUCUGGAAUAUAUGCUUCAUUAUAAUUUACUUUUAUUUCUCCUUUGUAUUAGAAUUAAGGCAUUAUAUUGGUUUUUUGGAAAUUAUUUGCAUAGGCAUAUAACACAUUUGUAGGCCUAUUAUGCAUCAAUUACAUUUCAGCAGAGUAAAGAGGACGCUGCAACUUUUUUUUAACAUAACAGGGGUGCUGGUCUGAUAGGCAUGAGAAUCCCUGCUCUAGCAGCUCCCACGCUCUCCUCCUGAUCUGUCAUCUAAAUAGGAAGCUCAGCAUAUUAGGACUUCAUCAAAAAAAAGCAAAUGGAUUCUGAGCAAUGCGAGGAUUAUUUCUCUCUAAUAAAGUGUGUGGCAAUCACAGUACUAUUUAAGUCAUCACAAGUGUCUGGUAAUUCCUGACGCUCCUGUGAACGAAUAGAUGAAAUCCCAUGAUAAAAGACCUCUCAAUGAGACAGGUUAAUAUUUGGAAAUUUAUAUUAUAAAACACUAUCACAAGAAUACUUUAAGUGGCAUCAAAAAAUUGACAUAUGAAAGCAAACUGGCAUUCAUGGCAAACUGUUGAGAUAGAUACUGCCACUAAAAAUUGAAAAUGUUUUGUUUUGUUCUCUGUUUUAAAGAGAAUGCUUGCUUUGAGACAGAGCUUGAACACAUUAAGGUUCACAAGGCAAAAUUCCUUCACUUCCUUUCAAUUUCCAGAAAUCUGGUUUAUAACUAGUGUUAAAGAUGUACCUACAGGUAAAGACAGGUAUAAAAUAGACACUUGAGAACCUAUAGAUUACGUUGAGGCUAUCUUAUGUCACCAUCAUUUUUUCCUUUAAAAUGUUUUUCAUGGCGGCAGCUUUGGAGUAGAGGAAAGAGCAUUGGACUUGGAGUCAGAAGACUUGGGUCUGAGUCCCGACUCUGCCACUCAUUAGCCAUGUGGCAUUUGGAAGAGUCUUUUAGCCUCUCUGGGCCUCCAUUUUUUCAAUCAGAUAAUGGGCACACCUAACCGUACAGAACAGCUGAGACAGAGAGAACAGAUGGAAAGGUACUUGGUAAAUUACAAAAUGCUAUGCAAACUUAAGAAAUCAUUAGGUUUUACUCCAUUUCUUAAAAGUGGCAAACAGCUUUCUUGGGAAUACAAUUUCUAGGAAUCUGGUUUGUAACUAGUGUUAAAGAUGUACCUAUAGGUAAUGACAGGUAUAAAAGAGACACUUUUCCUACCUUCGAAGUUCCAUUGCUCGUCGCAAUCUUUCAAAGCGAACUAAAUGCUCUCUUAGUCUUUGUUCCUUCAUCUUUUCAAAAGGCAAGAUGUCUUUCCUUCUAUAGUCUUUGUCCCUUUUUUUAUCUAGGCUAGCUCUCUCCUUUUCCUUGCUUCUUCCAUGAAUCUAUAAGAAAAAAAGUGUAACAGGACCAGAAGUUAAAAUAAUGUGGAGUUUUGGUUUUCAAGUUCAGCUGGUCAUUUAAAAAGCUUUAAAAGAGUAAUGACAUUCUAUUUUCCUUGAUUUUCAAGUUAUAGAGAUACUGAAUUAUCUUCUUUUGAAAACAGCAGAAUAGUACACAGCAGCCCUCUCAGAGACUUACUUUCUCAUAUCUUCCUCUUCUUGAUGGCCUACAAUGAUCUCCUUUAGUUUGGUCUAGUAUUACCAUAUGUCCUGGACUCUUUGAACCUAAGAGGAAAAAAAAAAUUACAUAAACAAAUGUCUAAACACUAUCUCAUUAAAAAAGACAGUAACUAUCAUGUAAAAAUGCUGAAAUCUUAGAUAGCCAGAUAUUCACAACAUAGUGCAUGAAAUAAAUAAACCUACUUAUUCUAUGAGAACUUAACUGCAAAUAGUCUUUAAAAAGAGCUCAACCCACAAACAUAAUUACUUUCAGUGAUACCAAAAGAUCCCAACUCUUAUGGAAACCAAUUUGACAAUCAAUUUCAUAUUAAAAAAGAAAAAAACAAAAACAACAAAAGAUCCCAACUCAGUCACACAGCUAUCAAUGACCAUAAAGGGGCUUAGAUGGAAGAACACACUUGUUUCCCAAGAGUACAAAAGAAGACUUCCCCUUCUACCACAGUGACACCUAACAACGAAGUUUAAAUAUUUAUCUGGACUGGGAUCUCAGGUUUUCCCUUCCACUGUAAAAAUGAAAUGGUAGAAAGCAUUAGAAAGGGAUUGAGAAGAAAGAUACAUAAGCAUACUUAUUCGCUUCUUUUCUUCACUUUUUUUAAUCGACUCUGAAGUUUGGCCACUUGAUCCAUUAUCAUUCUUCUCAUCUUUACCUUCUAUUUUCUUAGUAUCCUUGCCUUCUUUUUUUUCACAUUUCUCAGAUGACCUUUUCUCUUCUUUUUUCACAGAGGCUUGUGUCCUGAUCAUACCACCCAGGAAAAACACGUAAUGAGAACUUUUGCAGCAAUUUUCCAAAAAAGUCUAGUGCUUAUCAGAAAAAUAAAUCCUUACUUGCUACUUCUAUCACUUAUGUUUUUUUUGUCUCCAGAACUUCUUGAACUACUCUUUUCAUCAUUUUCUUUCUUCAAUUCUUUCUUAGAAGGAUCACCUUUAACCUGAAAGGUUUAAACAGGAAAAAAAAAAAAUCAGUAUGUUUUGUUAUGUUUCAGAUCACAAAAAAGUAUGUUUUGGGGAGCAAAUGUGGAAAAAACAGAAGUAAAAACAUAAAAAUAAUACUUAAAAACUAUUCCAAAUUCUACUCUCUAUGGGUGUAAACUCUUUAAAUUGAGCACUGCUAGCCCUCGAAGUAACCUCCAUUUUAUAUACAUUUAGGCAAGCUUACUUUUUCAACAGAAAUCAGCUGUCCAUGCAGCUCAGUGCGAUGAAGAUGUGCAAUACAUCUGGAUACCUCUGUGCUUGAAGACAUAGUUACAAUGCCAUAGCACUUUGCCCCAGGACUUCGAGCAUUUGUAACUACCUUUGCACUCAGAACCUAGAAUAUAAAAUAACACUUGACAAAGUUUUACAACUUUACCACAACAUACAUUUCUGAAUAGAUCAAACUUCAGAACUAAUACUAAUCAAAUAAAAGGAUAUAUUCAGGAUACAUGAAUUUGUGAUGAUGGAUACAUUUUGGAUAUAUAUUAUUAUUUUGGUUCAUAUUCUUGUGAUCAUUAUCUACUUUGCUUAUAAUACAAGUACUCAGUAAAUAUCCAGGGGAAAAAUCUAAAGCAUCAAAAACCAGGCUCCUGGAUGGGUCAGUCGGUUAAACAUCCAACUCUUGAUUUCGGCUCAGGUCAUGAUACCACAGUUCGUGGGACUGAGCUCCAUGAUGGGCUGUGCGCUAUUACCACAGAGCCUGAUUCGGAUUCUCUCUCUCCCUCUCUCUUUCUCUGGUCCUCCCCCACACCCUGUCUGUCUGCCUCUCUCAAAAUAAACAUUUAAAAAAUAGCAUCAAGGGGCACUUGGGUGGCUCAGUCGGUUAAGCAUCCGACUUCAGCCCAGGUCAUGAUGUUGCAGUUCCUGAAUUCCAGCCCCUCCCAUCGGGCUCUGUGCCGACAGCUCAGAGCCAGGAGCCUGCCACGGGUCUCCUUCUCUCUCUACCCCUCCCCCUCCUGCGCUCUGUCCCUCUAUGAAAAUUAAUAAACAUUAAAAACAAUAAAAAAUAGUCUCAAAAAGCAAUUGUAAUCUACUUGUUUUGUGUUAAAUUUUUCAACUCUAUAGCCAAAAUACAGCAGUCACAUCAAUGCAAUAAUGACACAAUUAAUGAAAGCAAAGAAAUUAAUAUUCUCAAUUGCAUUUGGGCCAAACUUCCCCUAUCAUAAGCCCACCCUGAAUCUCUUAGAGGAAUAAAAGAGGUAAUUUUCUAGAAAGUUUCUAAAUGAGUGUUAACAAUUUUCUCCAAUGAGUUAAGAAAUUUCAAAAAAUGAAUAAAGAACCAUCCACAUAUAAAAAAGCAGUCUUAAAAACACACCCUACAAAAACAUACUCUAAAAGGAUACACUUUGAGCUUUAAAAAUAUACACCAAUAUAAAAGUGACAAAGAAUUUCAAUUCUAUCAAAGUCAAGAGAAACAGGGAUGGAUGAGUAGGAAGAAAAGUGGCAGUACAAUCUAGUGCUGAACAAAAAGAGAGACAGACAUAAUGCCAAAACGAGAUAAACAGGUGUGGAUGGCUGGAAACUAUCAGCUUUUAUCUCAAGUCUGGGAAAGGCAGACUUGCCCCAACAACAACUUGGUUUUAAAGCCCAAUGUCGUGUUAUAAAAGUACACGGUGUCCUUAUAUAGUUUUAGUCCUAAGAAAUGCCAGCAUUAAAAAACUUCUUAUAUCUCUAACAAUAAAUUACUGAAAACAAAAUAAAAAAUAAACCGAGGCUGAUCACAGGACUACAGUUCUCAGUGUUGUAUAUCUGACACCUAUAAGAAUCCUUAACACUCAGGCAACUCUAUAUUAGAAGAAGAAGAAAAAAAAGACUUCUGAAAUCAACAGAAUAGAUUUUUAUAACAUUCAUGAAUGGUUAUUCACCAAUAUUGGUCAUUAAUUUAACAAAUAUUUCAAAGCCUACCGCAUGCACUUAAAGUACAGCAGACGAAGUCCCUGCUAUCAAAGAGACUACACUGGAGGGGUGCCUCCAGUCAGUUAAGAGUCCAACUCUUGAUUUUGGCUCAAGUUAUGAUCUCACAGUUCCUGGGACACAGGGAUCCAGCCCUGUGUCACACUCUGCGGGGACAGCACGGAGCCUGCUUGGGAUUCUCCCUCUCCUUCUCUCUCUGCCCCUCCCCCUCUUCUGUGUGCAUGCUCUCUCUCUCUCAAAAUAAACAUUUAAGAAAAAAAGAGCUUACACUGGAGUAGAUUACAUAUGACAUAUAAUGAAAACAAAAAUAUAAGGCAGAAAGGAGUGAGUGCCCUAAAGGAUACAAAUCGACUACAAUGCAAUUCAACAACUAUUAAUUGAGUAUUUAAUGCAUUAAUGCAUUUAAUUAUUGGCUAUUCUUCUGUUAGAUCUUCCCUUUAUAUGCCAGUAUAUAUUUUUCUGAUGAACCAACCACAGUCGAGCCUCCCCUUCUGCUCUCUUGGCAACUCUUCCAUCAUAGCACAUAUCACAACUUCUGAUGAAGGAUAUUUUCACCAGUUUUACAUUUUUUUCCACUACUGUACUGGAAUCUGUAUGGUGACAGGUGUAUCAGUUCCCACCCCCACCAAAUUCUAUAUCCCGUUGUCUAAUAUUUUCCAAAUGACUAGAUUAGCCUUAGAUACUCUAGUUCCUAGAAAAAUCAUGAUGAAUGUGAUGAAUAACUCAGUCCUUGGCUGAAAUGGGCUUAAAAUAUGAGCUUUUAGGGGCGCCUGGGUGGCUCCAUCAGUUGAGCGUCCGACUUCAGCUCAGGUCAUGAUCUCACAGUCUGUGAAUUUGAGCCCCGCAUUGGGCUCUGUGCUGACAGCUCAGAGCCUGGAGCCUGCUUCGGAUUCUGGGUCUCCCUCUCUCUCUGCUCCUCCCCCACUCAUGCUCUGUCUCUGUCUCUCAAAAAUGGAUAAACAUUAAAAAAAAAAAAAAAGAAAACUAUAAUAUGAGCUUUUAAUACAAAGAUCCCCAGGCUCAGAGUGAGAUUAUAGGACGAACUCUACGUUACCACAGAAUUCAAUAAUUAUGCUUAAACCAGUCCUAAGAAAAACAAAAAAAACUGGAAGGUUUCAUAUAAUAUUGUUUUGAAUAUAAUUCCUUUCAAACGGACACACGAGAAAGAUAGAUAAACAGGUAAAAGCAGCGUACCUUUCCAUAUUUGCCAAAAAGGUUCUUCAAAUCAGCAGCUUUGGUAUUAGAAGAAAGUCCACUAACCCAGAUAUUUUUAGUUGAGCUUCCACUGCUACCACUAGUACUACUUGUACUGCCUAGAACAAAUUUAAUAUCAGACAUUUUAGUAUCUCCACUGGAAUUUUUUUUAAUAAAAUGAUUAGAUCCAUCUUCUUUCAAAAUUAUAGAAUUAUCUUUUGACGUAACUAAAUCUAAUAGCACAACCUCGCUGUAUCAAAAUCCUAUGAAUUUGCUAUUAUUAAAAUCAAACACAAUAGACGAUACAACUAGUGAGGAAACAAAUCUGAACAUCUGUAUAGUUUCUACUGCAUGCGUUAAACUGAAGUGGGUAAAAAAUCAGUUACAGGUCUUGACUUUGUUAAGUUUAAUAAUUUAUACUCUACCACUGCAAUGAAUAUAGACAACUGGAAAGCAGUCAUCUAGAAAUGUACAGAUUGCUUAAUUACCCACAUAUGUCCUGGGCUUUAGAUCCUGAGACAUUGGGAGUGCAAAAAGGAACAGUCAAAGGAAGGGAUAAACCAUAUUCAAAAAUGUAAAUGUUUAAUAACAAAGACUAACCAACAGCUCAUCUUCAUUCUCUGGUAGAGAAAGAAUAAAACAGGAAUUAUAUGCAGCUAGAUAACUCUGGAUUUAAUAAAAAACAAUCUUCUAAAACAAAGUUAUUAAUAAGAAUAAAAUCAGAAACCUCAAAAUUCUUUAGAAUAGGUAAAUGGUUACACGAAUUAUUUCUGUACUACCUCCAUACACAAAGUAGGCUGUCAUACACCUAAGUACCAUUUCUUGGAAUACAGGCCUAGUCAGUCACACCCCCCCCCCUCCAGUGCUUUUCUUCAAAUGUGCUGUUACAAAAGGGAGCUUUCACUCAUUUGACUUAAUUUGCAGAACAAUUCUUACCCACUUUAAGGAAAAAAAGUAUGUAAGCAAUUAAAAGUAACAAUUUUUAUAACUGCACGUUAUUGUAAGUAGAAAGAGUAAAAUUUUCAAUGCUUUAAAAUAUUAAUGCCAUAGGUUUUAGUUGAAAAAUUACUGUCCACGUAGACUUAUGAAGAGACGACACAUUUUAAAUAUUAAUGGCUGCUGCAUUUCUACUCUUAAAAACUACAUUUAUCAAAGGAUCGAUUUUAUGAAAUGCUAACUAGAAGACUGUGUAUCUUUUUUUAUGUUAGCAGUAACAUUUGGGCCCAGGUACUUCUCUUAAUUACAGAAAAAAAAAUUUCAAUAAUAGAAAAAAGUUAACAUUUAAACAAGACCACUAAUCUUCUGAAUUUAAAGGGUAACAUUCAAUAAAUCUAUUAAAUUUUGUCCAUUAACCAAAACUGUAAAAGGAUGUGAGUAUUGCAAUUAACUGUCAAUUUAGUACACAAUCACUUGAAAUUCCAACUAUUAAAAUUACCAACAAAAUAACACUAAAUGAACCACAAAAAUCAGAUAACAUUCCUUAUUUAUUCACUGAAGAGGCAUUCUAGGACUUUGCAAUAUCUGAUUGGUGUUAUUUCCCUUAAAGUGAUUUUUCAGAAAACAAGAAAUGUUUUUCAAGUAGACAGCAUAUGUACAAGAGGAAACUAUAGUGCAACAGCCAUGAGAGACCCAGACAUCCCAGUAACAGAAAGUAACCAAAUAUUGUAUCUUUAAGCUUAUAAAAAUUUAAAAUAAAACGAAUUUCCUACAUAAAACUCCUAUCGACCCAAAAUAAGUCAAACCAAGAAGCAAAUUGUAAAGAAUCAAAAAUACCCUAUACUGGCUAUGUUAACAGAAGUGUGCCCUGAUUUAAACAAUGAAAAAAAUAAAACUAAAUGUUAGAGACUGAUUUUCUUUUAAAUAUUAGACUCCACGAAUAUAUGCAAAUAUCAUUUAUGGCACAUUUCCUACUAGACAGAACAGGGAGAAGGUUGGUGUAUAUGGGUUGCAAAUGACUACAACUAAAGAUAAAAUAUUUCUAAAAUUAUAAGGCAAGAAAAUGAAGUAUCUAUUGUAUUAAUAUUCAACACAGGAGCUUAGAACACAAUGUUAAAAAUACAACUUUUAGCAUACUCCUACCAGUUUACAAAUUAAUUAAAGCUUAACACCUCAAUAACACCAAGAGUUUGCCAAAAUCCAUAUAACUCAACAGUCUGCACAAAAGCCAUCCAGAAAUUUUAGUAUGUAUAUUUUAAACGACUAAACGUCAAAGGAAACCCCAGGCAAUUAUUAUUUUUUAACGAAAAUACGCAAUUUACCACUGAAAUAAAUAGGAAAAAAAUCCAUUACCUUUGUCAUCUUUGGAUGAUGUCUUGCUGUCUUUAGAUUCCUUUGAAGAGCUAAAGAAGCAAAUCACCAGAAGAAAAUUGAAAACAAAAAAAAAACCCAAAAAAACCAAAAAUCGAACAGCUUGAUAUUGACUGCAUUUCAAACUAGUGCUAUUCACACAAAUUAACAAUUCCAAAGGUCUAGAUUAGGUUAUUUGAACAAAUGAUUCCCUUAGGAUUCUUGCACUGAUUUUCCCCAAGAUGCCUGAAGAUCUAGAUUUUCUGACAAUUCUAUUCAGUGGAUAUAUGGCCAUCUUCUCCAGAUUUCAGGACUGGGACUUGACUUCAUUUUGUGUUCUUAGGACUGAUAGUUGUUCAUUAACCAUCAUCACAAGGAUUUUUAAAAAUAAAACACAAAAAAAUUGUCAAUUUGAAAAAAAAAACAAAAAACAACAAAAAAAAAACCAAAUAUAUGCUGACAAUUCGACAAUGCAAUCAGUAGGACACACUGCAUAUUACGAAGAUCUUGAAAUUUUUUUUAAAGUAACUUAUGACGGUCAAAAAUAUUAUAGGCAGGAUCAUAAGUACUAAUUACUGUACAUGGUCUUGAAGCCACCCCCUUAAUGUAGAGUGAUCUUAUUGAAUGCUGGAAUUCAGUAUCGUAAAGAACUGACAUAGAAAAACAAACCUCUUUGCUUGACCAGAGGCCCCAGUAGACGAGGGCCCUUUCUUCAAAGUAUCCUUUUCUUUGUCUCCAGAUUCUGCUUUCUUAGAACUUUCUCUGGCUUCCUUCUCGACAGGAUCCCCCUUCACGCAGUCUUCCUUCUUACCAUCUUUAUGGUUCGCAUUCAUCUCAUAAUCCUUGCUUUCCUUCUCCGGGCUCUGUGCAAUGGCGUCCUGCCCAUCUUUUGGCUUACUUGCUUCAGAAUCUGUAAUUUUCACAUUUUUACCUGUUUCUAGGAGGUCAUCACCAUCAAAAUCCAGAGUGAUGGCAUCUUCAGCCUGGAUUGUGACCGAGAUGUUGUCAUCCUCAGCUUCUUUCACAGUCGCAUUAGCUUCCAUCUCUUCAUGAGCUGUGUGAUCAGCCUCAGCUAGGUUCCCUUCUGAAGGAAGAGGUUUAGAUACUUCUUGUGUACCAUCACCAGAACCUGCUAUAUCUAAGAGGAUUUAACAGGAAUAAAUAUGGCAAAACAAGAAGUUUAAACAAUUUCAUAUUCAUAAGCUAGAAUAGGACCUAGAAAAUAUAAAGCCAGUUAUUAGCACUGAUGGAAGGUUAGGGGAAAAAAAACACAAGGGUAUUAACUAACAUAAACAAUCCUUUACCCAGGAUCACUUAUUCUUCAUGGAAAAAAAUGAUCUCUACAUACAAAUACCAAACAACAAAAGUGGUUGAUGGAAAUGGUUCCAUCCUGAGGAUACCAGCUCUUCAUUUGUGGUUAGAAGUUAAUGGCAUAUGGAAGACGUUUUUCCUCCAUGAGAUAGUGACAAAUGUGCAGAUUUGUUAUUCAAUGUUCCAAUCAUCUUGGGUUUAACCCUUGUGACCUUCAGAAUUCCCUUGGUGACGUCUUGAAAGGUCACAGUCUGAGGAUAUCAAUCAGUCUUCAGAGUUUUUCAGGGCCCCAUCUUUUUCACUCUUCUUACUCAAUUCUUGGGUAGUCCAGAAUCGUAUGGAAAACUGCUACAGAAGGCUCCAAAGAUGGCCUACUCCAUAACGUUCAGGAAAUUGGUUAUUUCCAGUCUUCAUCCUGUCCAGUCAGUCCCGCAAUUACCGUUUUUGAAGAUGUCUUGCAUUCCCCCAAAAUAGAAAGGCUUCAGGCAUGUGAGAUUUUCAGUCAGUAGCUUUACUUCGUCAUCAUUUUUAGGCCUUUAAUUCUGCCUUGCUUAGAACCCUGCUCCAUGUCCUUUCUAGUCCAAAGUAGAAUCCUUUGACUUCCAUCCAAGAACUCUUCCAUGAUAACCUCGUACUGACAAAUGUAUUACUACUGAUGUCCCUGUAAUUGUAUUGGAUGAGACAGUUCUCCUAAACUAUGAAAACUGUCAGAAGGCUAUACGAAAGUUUCUCUAUGUAGCAAACAAAACGUUAGUCUCCUCAUCACCCAUUUUUAGGACCGUUCAUACAAUUAAUUAUCCGUUACACUCCAAUAAGCACGUAUGAGUUACUGCAGUGCCAGUCUUAAGGACGUUAUCAACUUACCGUACGCUAGAAGUUAUUGUAAAAAAUAAAGUUAAAAUUGGGUUAAAUAAAAUAUGGCAUUGUCCACUACAGUAACUGAUAUGUACCAUUAAGUUAGAACAUAUCUUAAAUGUUAAAAAGAAAAUUAAAACCAAUUGAAAAAUGAAAUCAAGAUGCUAACUUAAUUCACUAAAUUGAUAAAUUUGAAAAUAAAGUCAUUUCAAAAAUAAGAUUUCAAAUAAGGAAGGUUUUUGUUCUCACAUAAUUUACUAUUUUUCUAAAUGUCAGCAAUUUUUAAACUCUACUUGGCAUCAAACAUACCUUUCUCAUUUUCUUCUUCCUCACCAUCCUGAAAUUCAAAGAAUAAUCAAAUGUAAAAUGAAUUCACUUAAAACUAGAUUUUAGUAAUAGCAUAAAAUCAGUCAAGUUAAACUGGUAUAUAAUUUAGUAACGUUAAUUAGGGACACCUAUCACUAGCAUAUAUAGGAUCUUCCAAUCAGAACCAGAGGCCAGUUAGAGAAAUGUGGCACAUGUCUGGUAUAUACGGUUUCAGACAAAACAGGUAAAUCUAUCAAUAAUCAGAUCAUCAAUAAACUGUAUUAGUUUCAGUAUUCAAAACUAGUUUAUAUAAAUCUGAAUCUUACUCACAUCAAGCAGUUGCCAAAGGACUGACCUGAUUAUCUUACGUGACUCCAUUCAAAAGCACUUUUAGGGCAUACUAUUCAAAAGUAGUACCAGAAAGUAUAAAUUGAAGACACGCACUUUCAAGGACUUAAAUGCAUAUUAAUAAAACAAACAAACAAAAACUCUUUCCAGGUAUCUCAGAACUCAAAGGGAAGACUACAAGAGCAGUUAUCUUCAAAUUACUCAUUCCUCUGAUCUGCUAAAAAUUAAUUCACAGCAGCCACAUACACCCUGGAGGCCAACUACUUUUAAAAAGGUGUUUGCACAAUAGGUAAUCAAAAGAGUAACUCACACUUUUUAAAAAAUAUGACUGAUUUUAAUUUUAAAAUAUGUGAUCUCCUCACCUAAUCUAAAAUUAAGCAUGUACUAGCCUGAAAACAGGAAUACUGCAAGGGGAUUUUCCCUUUACCAAGCAAAUAGUGCAAAAACCACUGAAGUAGUCAUAAUCACACCAAGAUAAAACCAACAUUUUCCCAUUAAAGAUCUUAACAAAUAACGAAAUAUGCAUUUAAUCUCAGUAAAAGAAAAAAAAAAGUGAAGGGAUGUUUUAACUUAUAACUUUUAAAAUAAAAGCUGAGUAGAGGCACCUGGGGGGGCUCAGUCGGUUAAGCGUCUGACUUCAGUUCAGGCCAUGAUCGGACAGUUCACGAGUGUGAGCCCUGUAUCAGGCUCUGUGCUGACAGCUCAGAGCCUGGAGCCUGCUUUGGAAUCUGUGUCUCCCUCUUUCUCUGCCCCUCCGCCACUCUAUUACUCUAUUUCUCUCUCUCUCUCUCUUUCUGUCACAAAUAAAUUAACAUUUAAAAAAUAAUAAAUAGGGGCGCCUGGGUGGCGCAGUCGGUUAAGCGUCCGACUUCAGCCAGGUCACGAUCUCGCGGUCCGGGAGUUUGAGCCCCGCGUCAGGCUCUGGGCUGAUGGCUCAGAGCCUGGAGCCUGCUUCCGAUUCUGUGUCUCCUUCUCUCUCUGCCCCUCCCCCCUUCAUGCUCUGUCUCUCUCUGUCUCAAAAAUAAAUAAACGUUAAAAAAAAAAAAUUUUUUUUUAAAUAAUAAAUAAAAUAAAGUAAAAGCUGAGUAGAAGUAGAUCCUUUUUGGUCACAGUGGUAUGAAGCUAGCACAUACAAAGCCUUAGAGUAGUGGUUCUCAAACUUUGAGUCUGUAUCAAUCUCCUGGAAGGCUAAUUAAAACAGUUUGCUAAGCACCAACCCAGAGUUUCUAAUUCAGGUCUGGAGGCAGGGCUUGAGAAUCUGCAUCUCUAACAGGCUUCCAGGUGACGCUGAUGCUAUUGUCCAGGGACCACACUUUAAGAACUACUGCCUUAGAGUGACAGCCCAGUAGUGAAAAAAGGCUUAAACUGAACUGUAAAUAAAACUUUAACUGGCAUAUUUAUUUAUAACACAAUUUUAGAUUCAUAGACAAGUGUGCGUUCUUUAAAAAUGUCAAAUAUUUUACCAUAUGUUCAAACUUACAUCUGGCAACAACCAUAUUUCUAAGAAAUCAUUUUAACAGAUUUUUUGACUUUAAGCUAACAUGUAAGUGCCCCAGUUAGGAAAUGCCCAAUUGUUUUACACACUAAAGUGUAUGAAGGAAACUACAAACACUGAAACAACUAAGCCACAAGCUUAGGAAGUAAAAGACUCCUAAACAAGUAGGUUAUUGAUUCAUAGUAAAGUGAAUCUUAUUAUCACUUAAGUCUGCGACAUUAUGCUCUGAUAACUCUAUUGUUGCUCUGGACCACAAUGCUGAACCAGAAUUUAGUUUCAAUCAUUAUGUUUCUAAUCUGCAACAUUUGGAAAGGAAAGAGAAAUGCUUUCACUUGGGUGGCAUGACAGGCAAUGGCAGCAAGGAAAAGAUGGGUGAGACCAGAAUUGGUGAUUUAUCUUUCUCUUUUAGUUUAGUAAUUUGUCUUGGGGGAAUAAAUAUACUGGAAUAUCUUUAACUUUUAAUUGGAAGCAGAACAAAUUAACUUAAAGAAUGCAACUUGCCUCUCCUUUAUCUACCAACAGCAACACCACUUUCCAGUUAUUCUUUUAGAGAUGCGAUACUGACAGGUUUAAGAAAAAAUGGCCAAAUUAUCUCCUGUUUUAAACAGUAAAAAAAUUUUAAUUUUUAAAUUAAAAAAAAAAUUAAGUAUUGUGUGUUUUGUAAGAAACAAAACCCUGGGGCUCCUGGGUGGCUCAGUUGGUUAAGCAUCCGACUUUGGCUCAGGUCAUGAUCUCAUAGUCCGUGAGUUCGAGCCCCGCGUCAGGCUCUGUGCAUGGAUUCUGUGUCUCCCUCUGUCUCUCCCCUCCCAUGCUCUCUCUCUCCAAAAUAAAUAAACAUUAA
This 14866-nucleotide long non-coding RNA is filed under the name Lynx pardinus (Iberian lynx). Lineage: Eukaryota; Metazoa; Chordata; Mammalia; Carnivora; Felidae. The record is from RNAcentral.